This 91-nucleotide non-coding RNA is filed under the name uncultured Acetatifactor sp. Its description in RNAcentral is "ZMP/ZTP riboswitch". It matches the Rfam family "ZMP/ZTP riboswitch aptamer (pfl RNA motif)". From Rfam's summary of the family: Previously known as pfl RNA. ZMP is also known as AICAR. Lineage: Bacteria; Bacillati; Bacillota; Clostridia; Lachnospirales; Lachnospiraceae. The record is from RNAcentral.
AGCUACACGACUGGCGGAAAGCAGCAUGGGCUGCGGUGGGAUGACCCACAGGGAGUGUAGAAUAUUUAGAAGCCGACCGCCUGGGCACCAC